This 478-nucleotide ribosomal RNA is filed under the name uncultured bacterium. Its description in RNAcentral is "partial 16S ribosomal RNA". It matches the Rfam family "Bacterial small subunit ribosomal RNA", at positions 28 to 523 of the family's 1533-position model. The record is from RNAcentral.
GAUGAACGCUGGCGGCGUGCUUAACACAUGCAAGUCGAACGGUAAGGCCCUUCGGGGUACACGAGUGGCGAACGGGUGAGUAACACGUGGGUGAUCUGCCCUGCACUUCGGGAUAAGCCUGGGAAACUGGGUCUAAUACCGGAUAGGACCACUGCCUGCAUGGGUGGUGGUGGAAAGCUUUUGCGGUGUGGGAUGGGCCCGCGGCCUAUCAGCUUGUUGGUGGGGUGAUGGCCUACCAAGGCGACGACGGGUGGCCGGCCUGAGAGGGUGACCGGCCACACGGGGACUGAGAUACGGCCCAGACUCCUACGGGAGGCAGCAGUGGGGAAUAUUGCACAAUGGGCGCAAGCCUGAUGCAGCGACGCCGCGUGAGGGAUGACGGCCUUCGGGUUGUAAACCUCUUUCAGCACCGACGAAGCGCAAGUGACGGUAGGUGCAGAAGAAGGACCGGCCAACUACGUGCCAGCCGCCGCGGUAA